This 253-nucleotide ribosomal RNA is filed under the name uncultured bacterium. RNAcentral's name for it is "partial 16S ribosomal RNA". It matches the Rfam family "Bacterial small subunit ribosomal RNA", at positions 524 to 776 of the family's 1533-position model. The record is from RNAcentral.
UACGUAGGUGGCAAGCGUUGUCCGGAAUUAUUGGGCGUAAAGCGCGCGCAGGCGGUCCUUUAAGUCUGAUGUGAAAGCCCACGGCUCAACCGUGGAGGGUCAUUGGAAACUGGGGGACUUGAGUGCAGAAGAGGAAAGCGGAAUUCCACGUGUAGCGGUGAAAUGCGUAGAUAUCCGGAGGAAUACCAAAGGCGAAGGCAGUGUCCUGGGGAGUGUCUGACGCUCAGGCGCGAAAGCUAGGGGAGCGAACAGG